ACGUCUCUCGAGGACUUGGUUGCAGGCGAUGACGAGCGCGUCGCGCGCUGCGACGAUCUUGCUUAAGGUACUCCAGCGCCAAUCUCUCCGUAUUCUCAAACCUCGCGCUCGUCGACCCUCGCAUCCUCUUGCCGUGCAAGUCCGG
This 145-nucleotide unclassified non-coding RNA is filed under the name Rhodotorula toruloides. Lineage: Eukaryota; Fungi; Basidiomycota; Microbotryomycetes; Sporidiobolales; Sporidiobolaceae. The record is from RNAcentral.